CUCUUUUAGCUGCUAGGUCUAUUUCUUAGUUCAAGAUCCCUCUUACUAACUGGAAUAAAAGAAUUAGUAGAUCUGAAAAGGGAAUCGAUCGUGAUUUGGAACCUGUUCUUUACAUGAACCCUCUUAACUAAGAUUUUCUUAUUUAUACCUGUUCUACUUUUUUUCUGUUCUGGCUCGGUUAUUCCAUCUAGCCGAGCCAUUCAUUCCUUUUUAUGAAAGAAAGAUAAGGGACAGAAAAAAAUGUAUUUUCCCAUCAACUAGCUAAAAUUGAUUAACCCUAGGAUUAGGAUCCUUUUUUCUUUUUUCCUCUAUGUGUAUUUUACUUUAGCGCAAGGGCGCUCGAUUAGUGAGCUAUUACGCACUCUUUAAAGGGUGGCUGCUUCUAGGCAAACCUCCUGGCUUUCUUUGCACCCCCACGGCCUUUAUCACUGAGCGGUCAUUUAGGGGCCUUAGCUGGUGAUCCGGGAUCGAUAAACCUUUUGGAUUUUAUUAACCAAAGAGAUACGACUUUGGGCUAUGGUUAGCUCAGCUCCAAUCAAGAAUAUUCUUACUAUUAUUGUAUUAUCUUAUUUAUAGUGAAACAAGUUGAGAAGAGGUUGUUAAUAAGAGAUUGCCCAGGGAAAUAGGUAAAAGAAAUUUCCAUCUUUGAUUCUCUAUAAACCAAGAAUAAAGGGAAAUCACUGAUUCAUUUGGAGCUGUUUUCUACCUGACUCAUUGACAUGAGAGAUUAGAUGCGAUGCGCCAGUCACUCGACCGUCAAUCCUUUCUUGUGACGAGCCAUGACUGGGUGCUCUGAAACCUCCUUAAAAGGAGGGGCGGUGGGGUAAGGUAAUUGUUGGGCAGUACACAGGAGGAAAUUGACAGGUCUAUAAAUUCUAUUAAAGGAAUGAGAAAGCUAAUGAAUCUUAAACCCAUUGAUAAAAAGAAAAAAAAGGGUACCAACGAUCUGGAAUCCCGUGCUGAAACCUACAGAUAUGCACCUAUGCGGACCAUCCUGGCAAUCCUCCUGUCUAUUCUUUCUAAUAACCAACGAAUGGCAAGUGCUCUUCCUUGUUUAGAUCCUAUUUCAAUCGGAACUUUCCGCGUCGAUCCUUUUUAUUUUAUCUUGUUUCUUACCUAAAUUUAUUAGUUUCUUCUUUAUUUGUAACAGUUCUCUACUUGGGCGGGUGGAAUUUAUCUAUUCCCUAUAUAUCCUUUUUUGUCUGAAAUCUUUAAGCAACUAAAAAAGACGUAUACUAAAAGAUAUGUGUUGAAAAGGGAUGGUCAAUAACAAGAUGAACCCAAUGCCCAAUCUUCCUCGGGUUCCACGGGGUAAAUCCAUUAAAAAGGACAAAUUUUAGCAGAAGGAGCUGCUACAGUUGGGGGCGAACUUGCUUUAGGAAAAAACGCCCUAAAUAAACGCGGACACUUAAAAAAUCUGUCGGGCAGGCAGAUUCACAUCUCUUACAACCCACACAAUCUUCGGUUCUCGGCGCGGAAGCAAUUUGCUUGGCUUUACAUCCAUCCCAGGGUAUCAUUCCCUUUUAUGAUUGGAGAACCUGGCUUUGAUGACAUUCCUGAGGGAUCCGCAAAACCCCUCGCCAUUACCGUAUGAGCAGGUUUGAAAGCCUGCAAGUUAAGUUGUUGGCUGCUCUUAGCGAUUGACGGACGAAGCCGAGCCGAUAUGAUAGGCGGGCGAAGUGAGCGAGACCAAGACGGGCCAGACGUGGCUAAUUUUUUAAUUAAAUAAAAAAUCCCUUUUAACUUAGUGGUAGAGUAAUGCCAUGGUAAGGCAUAAGUCAUCGGUUCAAAUCUGAUAAAGGGCUUUCUAAUUGAUUGGAUAUCCCGCAUAAGGAAUCGAAGGAAGAUGCGACGUUUUAUUCCAGGGAAUCCCCAACAAAAAAUGCACAUUUGUAUCUGGAUUUUUUGAUUUCCUAAAAGAGUUUUGGUCUAACAGUUUUUUCUCGGAAGAAGAAAAAUAAACAAAAGAAUGAAUAAAAUAUGAAAGAAAAGCGUCCAUUGUCUAAUGAGUUCAUAACCCUAGCGCCCAUUCCCAUUUUGGGCGGAACAGAUCUACUAAUUCUUUUAUUCCAGUUAGAGCCGAAAUAGGAGUGGGUCCUUCCAUAGCAUCGGGUAACCAUACAUGAAGAGGGAAUUGUGCGGAUUUCGCAACUGCACCAAGGAAUAAUAAAAAAGCACACAAAGUAGUAAGUAAAAACCUUCAUGAAAUGAAGGUUUUAUUUUAUGUAAUCAUUUAGGUGUUAGUGUAAACGAACCAUAAUUACUAGCCAAUAUUUAUCUCAUGCCUUUCCUCGUUCAUGGUUCGAUAUUCUGGUGUCCUAGGCAUAGAGGAACCACACCAAUCCAUCCUGAACUUACAGCAGCUUGCCAAACAAAGGCUAAUAGAAAAAAGAAUAGAGGUAUAACAUGCUUUAUUCUUAAGUGGGGGAAUCCCCUGAAAGCCGGUGUUCGAGUGAGUUUUUUCCAGGAAGCUAGUUCUUUAGGGCUUAACCCCUUUUGUUAUUCUACCUGCACUCUUCCGUAAACUAAAACGUGCAUUAUCAAUAGGAUCAAUUCUAACAAGUCACACACUCAUAUUCCAGAGAUACCGAAACAAAAAAAUUCCGCGGUCGAACUACCAUAAUAUCUAGAAAUGUAGAUCUUAAACUAGAAAGGCUUUUUUGGAUGGAAAAACUCUGACUUCCUAGUUUUAGUUAGUAGAAACCUAAUUGGUUAAAAUUCCAUCCAGUAAAACGGAAGAAUUAUAAAUUUCUAAAAUACAUAGCUUUCUUUAGUCUUUCCGGUAUAGCGUCGCGUCGGUCGAUAUCGCAGAGUCUAAUUUCCUAACUCGGAUUUGAACUCAGUGGGUAAUUUCUAACAAAGUUUUUCUCUUGUUGAUUCCUAAUUCUAGGUGUAGUGCUUUUCUCCCCUAUGCUGCCUACGGAUACUAAAGAUCACCGCUUUUCAUACGCUAAUUCGUGAUUCAAAGUAGAGCGAGUGAGGGAGCUAUACCCGGGACUCAAUCAACAUAUGCCAGAAAUAGGAAAUUGGAAUGAAAUCCAGUCUUAGUCAAAUACUUCAUAUCUCUUUGUGUCCAAGCAGAAGGAAAAGGAUACAAUUUGAGCCCAAUCCCUUUGGUCAUUUCGCUUUUCGUGCCGGCCUGUAUUCAGAGUUUCUUGGAUUUGCGGUGCCUGAAUGCCUUUCUCCUUCUUUUUGGUGACGCUUCGCUUGCAUGCAAGGCGGCUAAUAAAAGCGCCAGGUAGACGCGCGGAGAUGCAUUUUGAGUACUGGUGGUACUGGACAAGCUCUAGGGGAAUAAUCUCUUUCUUAUUUCUUUCUUAUUCCUUUCAUUUGUUGCUUUGUCUUCGGUUUGUUUUUAAACUCGACCUUCUAUCGGGACUGUGGUGACGAACCUUACUCCCCUCGGUCAAGUGGUUGACCCGUCUGUCCAAUAAGUUUACUAAGUGAAUGGGAAUCCUAUAGUUUGACCAGCCUGGAUCUCUAUUCUCCAUAAGGAUAGGGUUUAUUUGAUUGGCAUUCACGCCUUUUAGAAAGAGCCACUCAAUGCAAUUCACUUUUAGGCGAAGAGAGUAGCAGGGACUAUGGUAUCGAAUUUUUUCAUUCGAGUAUCUAUUAGAAAUGAAUUCUCCAGCAUUUGAUUCCUUACUAACAAAGAACUUUUUGGUACACUUGAAAGGUACCCCAUAGCAUGACUAAUUGAUAAAAUGUGGAGGAAAGUAGGGGAAAUGGCCGAUACUACUGGAAGAAUUCCUCUUUGGCUGAUAGGAGCGUAAAUAAUUGUAACCAUAUACAUAUAAAAUGACAGCAAUGGAAUCCCAAUCCCCUGCUUUUAUUUGUAAAGUCUCUAUUCCUCGGUGAUCAAAGCCCAAUGUCUCGGGGACUCAUUCUGACUUAAACAAGGGGUGGGUCUUUACCAACUUCCUAAAUCUAUAAAAAUAUAAAACUUCUCGGCUUUUACCCAUUUUAAUUUUUUUUGGAAUAAACUGUUGUCAACUAAUCUUUUCAAUGUUCAAUUCUACUCUAUGUUAGAACACGAGAAAGUGGAAAUCCUUUUGAAGGAAGCUAUUCAGGAACAGCUGGAACGGUUUUCUCUUCAGUAACAAAUAAAUUUUGCAUGCAGGCGAGUUGCAGCCUGCAAUCCGAACUGAGGACGGGUUUUUGGAGUUAGCUCACCCUCGCGAGAUCGCGACCCUUUGUCCCGCCCAUUGUAGCCUCUAUUGAGAAUCUAGUUUCUUGAUCGAAGUAAAGAAGAAUUUUAGUUCCUCUUUAGGCGAGCUACUUCGUUCCUAUUCUCCGAAUCUGAAUAGGAGAAGGUUGUAAUGAACCCAAAAUACAUCGCUAAGGUUCAACCGUUUCGCUACGGUUUUCUUCCAAUUUCAUCCAAGAUUUAAUAACUGAUCCAUUCUCAUCCUCGGUAAAGUCCAUAUUAUUGUGAUAGAAAUGAAGAGAAAUAAAUAAGCUUUAGUUAAUGUAAUAAAUAUACCCAUUGCUCUUUGAUGAAAAGAUGAAAAAACCAAAAAAAAGCUCUGCCCUUCCAUCUCUUCGAUAGAUAGAGAGGGAGGGCAGAGGCCUUGAACAAAAAGAUCACAGUAAACUUUUGGUAAAAGUUCUAUCUUGGUCGGAGUGGGGAUAUCAUUUCUCUUCUGCAUGUCUAUGGAGUUUUGCAAAACCCAAACACCUCCCAUGCAAAACCGUGCAUGAGACUUUCAUCUCGCACGACUCCUAAGUGAUAAAAGAAAGAAGAACUCGUCUUCUCUCUUUUUUGAUUACCUUCCUCGAUCAUGAUUUGGAACCUGUUCUUUACAUGAACCCUCUUAACUAAGAUUUUCUUAUUUAUACCUGUUCUACUUUUUUUCUGUUCUGGCUCGGUUAUUCCAUCUAGCCGAGCCAUUCAUUCCUUUUUAUGAAAGAAAGAUAAGGGACUUCUUUAAAAAGAAAAAGAAGUGCCUCUAUAUUUAUAUUAUAGAUUUAUCCACUUAGAUGAAUAAAUAUUAUUAAUGAAUAUGUAUCACAAUCCAUCUCGAGGUAUUUGG
RNAcentral lists this long non-coding RNA (5033 nucleotides) under Triticum aestivum (bread wheat). RNAcentral's name for it is "long non-coding RNA (TAES_LNC012436)". The stretch from base 1734 to 1805 matches the Rfam family "tRNA". Lineage: Eukaryota; Viridiplantae; Streptophyta; Magnoliopsida; Poales; Poaceae. The record is from RNAcentral.